AAAAAAAAAAAAAAAAAACUUGAAGCAUUGUUCUUUAUGUGUACAAGCCUGCGUUUUGACAUGCCCUGAUUAUUUGAAGGAAAUAGAAUAAAUAGUCCAGUUAACUUGUAAGUUAGUCAUUUGCAUCAGAAAUAAGAUGGAAUUUUAUUUGCUGGAGUUUUAAAGAAUGUAGAGCUUGGAAUGGAUGUGUCCUAAAAGAGAAAUUUCCCAGUGAUUAAUCAACCUUGUUUAGACCAUUCAUUUAAAUGAUUUUACAUGUAAAUAGGAAGUACAUAGAAAAGCUGUGUAUUCAGAAGAUAGCUGCUAUUUGGAAAGAAAGAAAUCUAAAUCAAAGUAGACUUCUCAAAAACUCUUUUAUGUGAUGACAUGACUGGGCUUUGUAUAAGCAGUAUUGUAUUGCUGUAAAGUUCAGAAGCUGCUUAAUCAAUAAAAAAAGUUGAAGUAGAGAGAUAGGAUUAAAGAGAUAAGAUCUUUGUUAGACUAAAUCUAUUGACCCAGAACUUCCUGUAAUGGGAUGGAUGGGAACUGCUUCACCUUGUUAAUGUAACAGAGGUUUUCCAUCUCAAAAUUGCUGUUUGGAGACUAUGUCACUGUGUCUAUUUUUAGUUUCUUGGUCUAAAGAAACCACAGAUUGUUUUUGCAAGACCUCAGAAAAGCACAAAACUUCCAUUGUAAACACGAUUUAGAUAAAACACUUACUGGGUGUGCUUUUAAUAUUCUGAGCAUCACGUUAAACAUCAUUGAUGUAAAAUCAGAAAUCUGCAGGGACACAAGCUACCUCGGAAUGUGAAUAAAAUAGCCAGCAUGAAACCAACUCUGUAGGCUAUUUACCUUCCCUGUACAAACAGAACUGCUUGCUGAUAGAGCGUGACCCCCAGCACCUGGCUGUCAGCCAGCAGGGGCAAGUUUCUAUCAGGUCAUAGUUAGAAUCUGUGUGUGCACAACAGACAGACUGUAGACUAAAAUGUCAGUUUCCCUCCUGACGUCAAUCUCCCCCUUUCUCUUGCUAACAGAACCUAUUUUUUUUUCUUUUUUUCAAAUGUGCACCGCUUUGGGAAAUGACCUCAUUUUCCAGGUCAGUAGUGAGUUCUGAGUAGUCUAAACCAGUCUUGCUAAUCCUGUGACCCUUACUAGUGAUCAGGUUUGAGAAGAUCCAGGCCCUUCUAGGGUUCAUUACACUACUGAGUGCAUCAGCUCUGAAGCCACUCCAUUGUUGGACUACCUGUAAUGGGAUAUGAUACAUUUCCUUUCCAUUUAAGCCAGUUAAAUUGGAGCUUUCUGUUUCUCCAAUCAAAAUCUCUUAAUGGGCACACAGGCAUUUAUUUCUCUUAAUAAUGACCAAAGGAAUUCAUUUACUAAGGACUUUGAGCAGAUAUUGGAAAAAAAAAAAAAGAAUUAUUUGAUUGGAGCUUUUUAGUAGCAAACAAAAUCACCUCCAGAUUAUUAUAUUCCAUAAUGUUUUCGUGUCCACUGUAACGGUAAUCAGCAAUUUAAAAAAAUCUUUUUGUUCCUCUCUGGCUAAAUGGAUUGUAGUAGCCUCCAUUAUAUUAUUCUGACACUAGUUCCAUGGCGUGUGGCCAAUUCCUAGGACUACAGUGACAUAAGUGGAUGGGAGUUUAUUUCUCUCUCUCAUAAAAUUAUGUCUGGAGCUGGGAUGCUCCACUCCACCAAGCCUUUAGUUGCCUUCAUCUACAUGGUGUAAGGUGGCUCAGCCCCAGGUCCACAUUUCAACCAGAAACAAAGGGGAAGGAGAAGAGGACAUUCCCAGUCUCUUUAAAGGUCAAAUCUGGAAGUAGCACACAACAUUGCACUCAUAUUCUGACAGAGAAAAGUUACUUGUGAGGCUACAUGGCCAGCCCCCAAAGCAGUUGGGAAAUAUCUUUAUUCUGGGUGCAAUGUGCCCAGCUAGAAACUGUUCCUAUGAAGAAAAGGGCGAAUGGAUGAUGAGCGGACAAAUGUCAGUCUCUGCCUCAUCUGGUGUCUUUUCUGUCUCCUUUUAUCAUUACUCAAAUACCAUUCACUUGUCUCCAGUCUCAGAGUUUCAUAUUUUCAUGCAGGAAAAGAAAAAAGUAUUCUGGCAAGAAGCUACUUCUUUUUUAUUUCUAACAGAAUUGAGUAUUUCCUUGGUGAUGUUCUUUUUAACAAUAUAUAUUUUUCACUUUCUGUAUUCCCAGGCAUGAGAAAUUAGACCUCCAACUCUCAAUAAUACCCAUAAAAUUGUAUUCACCCCUUCUAUUAAAAGGUGUUGCCACAAUAACCUUCUGAAGUUGUGCAGAUAAAUAGAGUUCGCAUUCAGUAUUGCCAUAAACUGAAAGCAGAGGCACAAUUCUAGAAAAUUCUCUAGUUGGAUUGACAUUUACACCUGCUGAUUAUUUUGUUCUCAUGUCACAUACAAAGGCACUACUAAACCAUGUAGAACCACAUGUUCCACGGACUAAAGCUUUUGGAGUUACAAAUUGAAUAUGAUAUUUCACGUAGCACUUGGAGUAAUAUCAGCUUCUGAUUUACAUUUCUAACAGAAGUCCUAGGAGUUUUAGCUUUUAUUCUUCCACCGCAAUCACUAGAAAUCAUGCUGUUUUUAGCAACUAAGCUAUUCUCAUAAGAAACAUUCACCAAGGGGAAAAAUUCAGUAUAUUCUCCCUUAUAUUGAAAAUAAAUCAGUAAUACUUGUAGGGGAAAAUUGUUUAUUCUACAUGCAUGAAUUGGUUAUCCAGUAUGUAUAUGGCUCUCUGCUAGAUGCUACAGGCACACAGAGGUGAUGCCACAGCCACUGUGCUGGAGAAACACAUCAUCUAAUGGGAAGACAAGGCACGUCUGUGUGAAACAGCAUAGCCACAUGGCAACAUGUAAUUGUGCCGGGGAAUGUCCCACAGAAAUCCAGGAUGCUUAAUGACCUUAAUGACCCAGUUCCUGCAUCACUGUGAACACACCUCAUAGUCAUGUGUGUCACACUGCUUGUGUGCAUACCACUUGCCCACAUGUGGAGCUGCUGUGGGGCUGCUGGUGGGGUGAGCAGGAGCUGCCUUCUAUUCAUUUUUGUAUCCUCAGCAAUGACCCCUGCAUUCAGCACACUCAUUGUGUCAUGAAUGAUGCUGUGAGAAAGGAAAAGGUUUGGAAUCAAGAAUGGGGAGCUUCAUUAAGCACACUGAGGGAUGGAAAAAUUUGGCCUAAAGUGGUGACUGAAAUAUUUCAGGCAGAAGAUUCUGCACCAGAGUGAAGGGUCAGGAAGCCAGGCAGCUGCAGAUAACACGGCCAGGGAGGAACGAGUAGGCGAUGGGGAGGAGUUGUGGGCUCAUGGUGCCUGAUCAAGAACAAGAGAGGGAAAGGGAGUCUGGCCCUGCGGGCUAAGGAUUUGGGACUUCAUCCUGCAGACCAUGGAGGCCAGGACAUGAUCAGAUCUUUUGGAAAAAGUAAUCUAGUGUGAGGGUGAGGAGAACAGGUGGAAAGGGGGUUCAUUGAAAGUCACAGAGACCACUGUGACGGUGAGUAUCUUGUGUGAAUAUACAGCCUUCCGACCCUAUAAAACAGGAAUCACUAUUUAUCUUUUCUCCUUCUACUAGUGAAGCAGCAUUGGUAGUCCCGGGUAAAUCCCCAGGGUUCCUUAUCUCACGCCAAGAAAAUUAAGUACACAGACACGUGGGUGGGUUAAGAAGUGGAAAGUAUAGGCAGAAGAAAGGAGAGAGGAGAGCAGCUCUUUGCAAGAGAGAAAUGUCUGAAAAAAAGGGUCAAGGUGGCGGAUCACAGCAGAUUUUAUAGGUAGCCUUGAGGAGGCAGUGUCUGAUUUAUGUAGGACUCACAGAUUGGUUUGACCAGGUGUGGCAUUUACAUAGCACGCAGAGAAGGCUCUUGGCCCCACCCUAAUCUUAUUAUGCAAACAGACUUUCCACUUGAUGGGGCCAUCUUUUCUGCUCCUGACUGUACAUGUGGCUGGCAAAAAGAGAAGAUGGAGCCGCCAUUUCGAACAUGGCUAGUCCCAGGGACUAUAUUCCUAUGGGCACAACUGCCAGCAUGUACCCGUGCAAGUUUCCAGCAUGCUUGUUUGUGUCUGCAGCUCGAUUUUACAGGCUGCUCUUGUUGGAAAGGAAAAUGAUUUGGGGGCUGCUUUUCGUUAAAAGAAAAACCUUACUGAGGACUUCCGCACCCUCACUGUCUGCCUAAGUACUUUCUUUUUAACUCCUAUAUGACUAGUUUUCAGAAAUUAUUUUAAGAAUUUUAGGUUUGUAAUAUCAUAUGCAUUUAAGGCUGAAACCUUGGGGAUGUGGAAGAUUUGGGUCAUUAUUUUAUUUUAGAGAUUAUUUAGAAAUUGAAUUCCUAACCACUCUCUGUAUAAUGUGUAAUAGCUAGUAUGGUACACUAUAGAAUAUUUAUACUCACCCAUCUUCAUUAUGCUGCAUAAUUUGCUGCCUUUCAUUUUUUAAUCUAAAAAUAUGAGUGUAAUAUUUAAAAGUCUUAAAUAGCAAAUUUUCCUUACUGUUUCCUCAGCAUCCACCAUGGUAUCCAACACACAUAUAAUUGUAUAAGAGGGUUUCAUAUGGAAAAGUCCCGCGAGUGACAAGAUUUGCAGAUUUCUAAGAGGCUUUCUACCAAUAUUUGAGAAGUGAUGGCAGGUGUAAGGGGUGGACUGUGACAGCCACCCUUCUUGACUCAGAUGUCCCAGCACCCACGUGCAUGCACCAGUGAACAUGAAAAAGUGAAAGGCAAGAAAGACCUUCUGACCAUGACAUUCCAGCCGUGUUACCACGGAACGGUAUGAAGGUGAAGAUUUGCAAAUGUUUACCCCAAACCCCUUCUUUAUUAAACACUUUUGGCAUCUAUCUA
Molecule: non-coding RNA, 4818 nt
Organism: Macaca mulatta (Rhesus monkey)
Lineage: Eukaryota; Metazoa; Chordata; Mammalia; Primates; Cercopithecidae
Source: RefSeq, a predicted model, not a curated record